GGAGACCUAAGCCAUGCUGAUGAGGAAAUCACUCCAGACCAGAGGCAGCUGGGUCUGCUGGAUGGCUGGGCCUGGAGGGUAUGUAGAGAAGAAGAGGGCUGCCCGUGCUGCACGCGUGGGUUCGUGUGAACAGAGCAUCAGUGGACCCAGCAUAGCAGAGGCUUGGAUCAACUCAGGAGGGUGACAACUGAAGCUGCACUGGUGGAAGAUACUGUGUGGAGACAGAGAGGACUGCAAUGUUUUCCCUGGGUGAGUGGAUGGGUGAGACCCCCACCCCCAGCUUCACACUUGAGCCAGGAAUCCCAGGAACCUCUAGCCUUCCCCUCAUGUCUGUGACCAGAGGGACAGAGA
Molecule: long non-coding RNA, 351 nt
Filed under: Mus pahari (shrew mouse)
Lineage: Eukaryota; Metazoa; Chordata; Mammalia; Rodentia; Muridae
Description: predicted gene 11791 (MGP_PahariEiJ_G0004696.1)
Source: RNAcentral